UGCCUACGGGGGGCAGCAGUGAGGAAUAUUGGUCAAUGGGCGGGAGCCUGAACCAGCCAAGUCGCGUGAGGGAAGACGGUCCUAUGGAUUGUAAACCUCUUUAGGCGGGGAGCAAUGCCGGGCACGUGUGCCCGGAGGGAGAGUACCCGCAGAAUAAGCAUCGGCUAACUCCGUGCCAGCAGCCGCGGUAAUACGGAGGAAGCGAGCGUUAUCCGGAUUUAUUGAGUGUAAAUGGUGCGUAGGCGGAUUUUUAAUUCAGCGGUAAAAUGUCUGGGCUCAACCCGGCACGGCCCU
This 294-nucleotide ribosomal RNA is filed under the name uncultured bacterium. Its description in RNAcentral is "partial 16S ribosomal RNA". It matches the Rfam family "Bacterial small subunit ribosomal RNA", at positions 335 to 627 of the family's 1533-position model. The record is from RNAcentral.